Non-coding RNA from Danio rerio (zebrafish), 115 nucleotides. Lineage: Eukaryota; Metazoa; Chordata; Actinopteri; Cypriniformes; Danionidae. The record is from Rfam.
GCCGGCAGCUAGCUCUCUGCAACUCUCACAUGGUCGCCCACUGAAGCUAAGCAGGGCUGCGCCCGGUCAGUAUCUGGAUGGGAGACCACAUGGGAAAGCUAGGUUGCUGCCGGAA